Non-coding RNA from Sapajus apella (tufted capuchin), 74 nucleotides. NCBI's taxonomy places the organism in Eukaryota, Metazoa, Chordata, Mammalia, Primates, Cebidae. The record is from the annotation of a RefSeq genome assembly.
GUGUCUGUGGCACAAUUGGUUAGUGCGUUCGGCUGUUAACUGAAAGGUUGGUGGUUCUAGUCUACCCAGGGAUG